UGGGGAAUCUUGGACAAUGGGGGCAACCCUGAUCCAGCGAUGCCGCGUGGGUGAAGAAGGCCUUCGGGUUGUAAAGCCCUUUAGGUUGGGAAGAAGUUUACCAGGGGAAUAUCCUGGUAGAUUGACGGUACCGACAGAAUAAGCACCGGCAAACUCUGUGCCAGCAGCCGCGGUAAUACAGAGGGUGCAAGCGUUAAUCGGAGUUACUGGGCGUAAAGGGCGCGUAGGCGGUUAUAUGUGUGGAAUGUGAAAGCCCUGGGCUUAACCUAGGAAGUGCAUACCAAACUAUAUAACUGGAGUAUGGGAGAGGGUGGCGGAAUUUCCGGUGUAGCGGUGAAAUGCGUAGAGAUCGGAAGGAACGUCGAUGGCGAAGGCAGCCACCUGGCCCAAUACUGACGCUGAGGCGCGAAAGCGUGGGGAGCGAACA
Molecule: ribosomal RNA, 427 nt
Filed under: uncultured Aquicella sp.
Lineage: Bacteria; Pseudomonadati; Pseudomonadota; Gammaproteobacteria; Legionellales; Coxiellaceae
Description: partial 16S ribosomal RNA
Rfam family: Bacterial small subunit ribosomal RNA
Source: RNAcentral